UGGAUUUUGUGGGGGGAACCGAUGG
This 25-nucleotide non-coding RNA is filed under the name Rattus norvegicus (Norway rat). Lineage: Eukaryota; Metazoa; Chordata; Mammalia; Rodentia; Muridae. The record is from RNAcentral.